RNAcentral lists this long non-coding RNA (339 nucleotides) under Homo sapiens (human). RNAcentral describes it as "long non-coding RNA NONHSAT067879.2". Lineage: Eukaryota; Metazoa; Chordata; Mammalia; Primates; Hominidae. The record is from RNAcentral.
ACGCUUGAUGAGAAGGACCCACGGCGUCUGUUCGAAGCAACGCCCUGCUGCGGCGGCUGGUCCGCAUUGGGGUGCUGGAUGAGGGCAAGAUGAAGCUGGAUUACAUCCUGGGCCUGAAGAUAGAGGAUUUCUUAGAGAGACGCCUGCAGACCCAGGUCUUCAAGCUGGGCUUGGCCAAGUCCAUCCACCACGCUCGCGUGCUGAUCCGCCAGCGCCAUAUCAGGUCCGCAAGCAGGUGGUGAACAUCCCGUCCUUCAUUGUCCGCCUGGAUUCCCAGAAGCACAUCGACUUCUCUCUGCGCUCUCCCUACGGGGGUGGCCGCCCGGGCCGCGUGAAGAG